AAGGAAGAAACCUUCCAGAAACUACCUGUU
RNAcentral lists this non-coding RNA (30 nucleotides) under Mus musculus (house mouse). Lineage: Eukaryota; Metazoa; Chordata; Mammalia; Rodentia; Muridae. The record is from RNAcentral.